This 294-nucleotide ribosomal RNA is filed under the name Triticum aestivum (bread wheat). Its description in RNAcentral is "partial small subunit ribosomal RNA". Lineage: Eukaryota; Viridiplantae; Streptophyta; Magnoliopsida; Poales; Poaceae. The record is from RNAcentral.
AUGCCAACUUUCGCAUUGUCUGUCCUUCGAGUGCCAAAGAAACUACUCAAGGAAAUUGAAGAAUGCCGACGUAGAUUCCUCUGGAAACAAGAUGAGGAGAUCACAGGUGACAGCUGCAAGGUUAAUUGGUCGGCGGUGUGCACUCCCACAACGCAUGGAGGACUAGGGAUCCUCGACCUCGAGCGUUUCAGCCAUGCCCUUAGACUGCGGUGGCUUUGGAUCUCCUGGACUGACCCGGAGCGGCCAUGGGUUAGCAUGGAGCUGCCAUGCAACGCCAACUACAAGGCACUCUAG